AGAGCGAACGCUGGCGGCAGGCUUAACACAUGCAAGUCGAGCGGGCGUAGCAAUACGUCAGCGGCAGACGGGUGAGUAACGCGUGGGAACAUACCUUUUGGUUCGGAACAACACAGGGAAACUUGUGCUAAUACCGGAUAAGCCCUUACGGGGAAAGAUUUAUCGCCGAAAGAUUGGCCCGCGUCUGAUUAGCUAGUUGGUGAGGUAACGGCUCACCAAGGCGACGAUCAGUAGCUGGUCUGAGAGGAUGAUCAGCCACAUUGGGACUGAGACACGGCCCAAACUCCUACGGGAGGCAGCAGUGGGGAUAUUGGACAAUGGGCGCAAGCCUGAUCCAGCCAUGCCGCGUGAGUGAUGAAGGCCCUAGGGUUGUAAAGCUCUUUUGUGCGGGAAGAUAAUGACGGUACCGCAAGAAUAAGCCCCGCUAACUUCGCGCCAGCAGCCGC
This 446-nucleotide ribosomal RNA is filed under the name uncultured bacterium. Its description in RNAcentral is "SSU rRNA". It matches the Rfam family "Bacterial small subunit ribosomal RNA", at positions 26 to 518 of the family's 1533-position model. The record is from RNAcentral.